Molecule: ribosomal RNA, 1221 nt
Filed under: Halomonas sp.
Lineage: Bacteria; Pseudomonadati; Pseudomonadota; Gammaproteobacteria; Oceanospirillales; Halomonadaceae
Description: bacterial SSU rRNA
Source: RNAcentral
CCGCAUACGUCCUACGGUGAGAAAGGGGGCUUCGGCUCCCGCUAUUGGAUGAGCCUAUGUCGGAUUAGCUAGUUGGUGAGGUAACGGCUCACCAAGGCGACGAUCCGUAGCUGGUCUGAGAGGAUGAUCAGCCACAUCGGGACUGAGACACGGCCCGAACUCAUACGGGAGGCAGCAGUGGGGAAUAUUGGACAAUGGGGGCAACCCUGAUCCAGCCAUGCCGCGUAUGUGAAGAAGGCCCUCGGGUUGUAAAGCACUUUCAGCGAGGAAGAACGCCUGUCGGUUAAUACCCGGCAGGAAAGACAUCAMUCGCAGAAGAAGCACCGGCUAACUCCGUGCCAGCAGCCGCGGUAAUACGGAGGGUGCAAGCGUUAAUCGGAAUUACUGGGCGUAAAGCGCGCGUAGGUGGCUUGAUAAGCCGGUUGUGAAAGCCCCGGGCUCAACCUGGGAACGGCAUCCGGAACUGUCAGGCUAGAGUGCAGGAGAGGAAGGUAGAAUUCCCGGUGUAGCGGUGAAAUGCGUAGAGAUCGGGAGGAAUACCAGUGGCGAAGGCGGCCUUCUGGACUGACACUGACACUGAGGUGCGAAAGCGUGGGUAGCAAACAGGAUUAGAUACCCUGGUAGUCCACGCCGUAAACGAUGUCGACCAGCCGUUGGGUGCCUAGAGCACUUUGUGGCGAAGUUAACGCGAUAAGUCGACCGCCUGGGGAGUACGGCCGCAAGGUUAAAACUCAAAUGAAUUGACGGGGGCCCGCACAAGCGGUGGAGCAUGUGGUUUAAUUCGAUGCAACGCGAAGAACCUUACCUACCCUUGACAUCUACAGAAGCCGGAAGAGAUUCUGGUGUGCCUUCGGGAACUGUAAGACAGGUGCUGCAUGGCUGUCGUCAGCUCGUGUUGUGAAAUGUUGGGUUAAGUCCCGUAACGAGCGCAACCCUUGUCCUUAUUUGCCAGCACGUAAUGGUGGGAACUCUAAGGAGACUGCCGGUGACAAACCGGAGGAAGGUGGGGACGACGUCAAGUCAUCAUGGCCCUUACGGGUAGGGCUACACACGUGCUACAAUGGCCGGUACAAAGGGCUGCGAGCUCGCGAGAGUCAGCGAAUCCCUUAAAGCCGGUCUCAGUCCGGAUCGGAGUCUGCAACUCGACUCCGUGAAGUCGGAAUCGCUAGUAAUCGUGAAUCAGAAUGUCACGGUGAAUACGUUCCCGGGCCUUGUACACAC